UGACGUGAAUUAAAGAAGGCGAAGAAUGAGGCAACAAUAAGAAACAACAAAAAACAUUACGAAAGGCGCAAGCCACGGCCCAGCGAACAGCGACGCUGGGCACAUGGGCGGCGAGCGAGAAGCCGGCGGCUAGCAGUUGUUGCGAGGAGAGCAUCUAAGGAGAGUUGCCGUCGGCGCGGGCGGACUCGUGAAAGCGCAAGGCACGUCAGCCGCAGGUGUGCGCGCCUCCAGCGACAAGCAGACCCCGGCCCCUGAGCCGCCGCGCGCGCGCGCUCGCGCCCCACGACGCUGUGCUGCUGCCUUCGUUGCCCAUCGAGGCGCGUCUCCCCAUGCGCGCAGUUAGGCCUAGCUAGAAGAACGCCGCCGCACGAGACCACGACGACACACGGCCGGAUUACGAGAGGCGAGCACAGCGGCGCACCACGUCGUCCCCCAUGUCCGUGGCCAACACCGAGAGCUCGAUGACUCUGAGCCAGAGCAUGGAUUCCGUCAACACGGUCGCCGAAGAAGAGGUGCGAACUCUCUUCGUGAGUGGCCUUCCCAUGGAUGCAAAGCCCAGGGAACUCUAUCUACUAUUCCGUGCCUAUAAGGGAUACGAGGGAUCUCUUCUGAAAGUAACACAAAAGAAUGGAAAGACAUCUUCGCCAGUAGGUUUCGUAACGUUUUCUUCAAGAGCUGGAGCAGAAGCUGCCAAGCAGGAGCUUCAGCAGGGCGUGCGGUUCGACCCCGACCUUCCACAGACCAUCCGGCUCGAGUUCGCCAAGAGCAACACAAAGGUUAGCAAACCGAAACAGCAGUCUCCUCCCGCCGCGGCCACGCACCCGACACUCCUGCACCCUAUCACGGGACAAGAAAUCAGCGCUGCCCUGCUGCCGGGGACCCACGACGGCUGGCCGCACCACCCUCUCUCCUACGCCGAAGUGCCCGUCACCACUACCCUGCACACUGCGGCUCUCAUGCAUCCAGCCCUCCAUGCGCAGCUGCCCCCUCCGCUGACGGUGCCGCACCCCCUGUCACACGCGGCGCUGGCUGGUAGCGCGGCCGCGAUUCACGCGACCAUGCCGCCCCCGCACUUGGUUGCCAGCCCGGCGCUUGCGUCACCCGUCGGCUCCACCUCGUCUUCGGCUGCCGCAGCAGCGGGAACGCCACCCUGCUCCACGCUGUUCGUGGCAAACUUGGGACAGUUCGUCUCCGAACAGGAGCUCAAGGACCUCUUCGGAAGGACGUCCGCCUUGCAACACAUGCUAUGAAUGCCUUGCAGGGCUGUGUACUGUUCUCCUCAGAUCGAGGUGGAGUCCGCAUUGAAUUCGCCAAAAACAAGAUGGGAGAGGUAUCCCGUGAAUGAUGAUCUGGAACAGUCGAGAAAACGCUUCAAGUUUCCUUAGGAUGAAUCUCGGUGUGUGCUCGAGGGGUGUACACAGCAUGCUGCAAUGCAAGCAACCAAAGGCUUGGAUGAUAUUUUCAGUACACUGCAUUAAUUGCGUUUCCCGCGGGAGACGCACAAAUAGUUUGUGAUGAAAAAAAAGAGUUAUUUAGGCAAGCGAUGAGUGUUUAGUGAAUGUCAUUGUUUUUUUUCCUAUCAUUUUUCUUUGUAUAACGCGACUAUCUAAUUGUCUUGCUAACCUUAAUGUGCUUCGGCGAAUCGCCACAUCGCUGCUUCUAUCCGUGUGAGACGAUGAUACUGUGUCGGUGUGAUAGAUGAGUCUAUUAUAGAUUAGUCUUUGUGCGCAGAGCGCUAGGUUGGCUGCCAUCAGAGAGCCCUGCUAUACUCUGAAAUAUUGUUUUUCAGAAUGUACGAGUGCGCAAUUUGUGUUUCUUUAUAGCGUUUCUUUUUUGUUGUUUUAAGAGAAGUCUGCAAGCUGUCUUUUAUGAUACAGUGCGUCCCGAAAUUUCGUGCUUACCUUUGUCGUGGUUGUGCCAUGCGUUGAAUCAUCCUUUGCUCGAAAAAAAAAAAGCUGCGGAGAACAGAUAUUUGUGAACUCUGCAGGAUACUCCUAAGUACGGAUAGCUAACGGAGCUAUCGCGAGUACAUGUUGACACCAAAGAGACAGCUUUCUGAACCGAAAUAAACAGAAAACAAGGAAAAUUGGGUUCACAAUGUUGUACUAGUCACAGUGUACAAAGAAAAAACUGUAACCACUAUUUAUAGCGAGGCGAUUUUUAUCCUGUGUGUCAUUAGGGUAUAUCCUAAAUUUACAGCCUAAUUUAUAUAAAUAGUAGUGUGAGUUUUUAUUGUGCUAGCGCCCGAACUCGGAUGCGGACUGUGUUUAAAAAUACUACUGUGGACAAGGAAAACGUAACUAUAGGUUUCAGUAACAUACCUUGCUUCAGAGAUGUAUUUAUGUGAGGCAGACACAUUCCCAGUGACCUCUGAAUCCAACUGACCUUGUGUAUUUUUUAAAACUCAUUACUAAUGCCUUUUCUCUAUCAAUAAUCAUUUGAUUUUCAUUACUUUUGGAUCGUGCCGAUAAGUUUUGUUUUGUUAUGUAAUUUACAAGUGCUAUUUUUUUUCAUUCAUAACCAAUGAAUAUGCUACCAGUAGUUCUGACCAUUUCUUUGCAUGAUUAUUCUGUACUGUAUUUUUUGUUACUAAAGCUAUUUAAUUACAUAAC
RNAcentral lists this unclassified non-coding RNA (2612 nucleotides) under Rhipicephalus microplus (southern cattle tick). Its description in RNAcentral is "protein couch potato-like, transcript variant X2". The record is from RNAcentral. Lineage: Eukaryota; Metazoa; Arthropoda; Arachnida; Ixodida; Ixodidae.